CCAUUCCCUAAGGAAUCUCGGCACCACAUCCACCUGCCAGAGGCGUGAAUAUUUGGGUGCCGGGAUCUCGACAAUUCGGCACCCCGCAGUAGUCGACAAACCAGUGUAUCUUGACCUACUGGUCUGCCCUGUACCGGAACGUGCGCCGCCCACAUGGCGGAUCUGAUCAUGUUGAGGGAUCGAUAUGACCGACCCAACGAGACCAGGUGUGACAGAUAGUUGGGGAUCAGUGGGGCAGGUGCGGUAAAGGGAUCGGAAUCCCUUUCCACACACCAAUCACUCCAGGCCGACCAGGCAGAAAUAUAGCCUUUCCUGGUGCCGGGAGCCUAUGAGUCCCAUAGGAGGUCUUAGUUGAUGCAAUAGGUCGUGAUCUGACCAGGAGCCCCUGAAGCCGUCCAGGCAACUAGUGUCAGUUGUCCUUCC
Pelobates cultripes (western spadefoot toad) is the source of this 423-nucleotide non-coding RNA. The record is from the annotation of a GenBank genome assembly. NCBI's taxonomy places the organism in Eukaryota, Metazoa, Chordata, Amphibia, Anura, Pelobatidae.